GAAAGUGAAGGUGAUUUGACUGUGACGUCUGUUACCCCAUGGAUUGCCAGGGUUGAUUUAACUGAUCUGGCUAACUAGGAGGGUGUCCUCGUCCUCCCUCAAUGCUAUACAUACAUCCCUCUCAAAGCUAUGCUCUCAGUCAGAGGACCUUCCCAGAUAGAGGAGGACUGGUCUUUGCUCAAAGGUAUACAAGUAGCUGUGCUCCCUUCAUAGAAUCUCCAAACGAGUGCUCAAGCACUCUGAUGGACAAAUCUCUCUUGGAAAACUUAGAGCAGGAGGAUGAGCCCUGUAGUGCUGAAGAGAAUCAGUGAUGGAUGGAGAAGCAGAGUUUACACAC
Molecule: small nuclear RNA, 337 nt
Filed under: Nannospalax galili (Upper Galilee mountains blind mole rat)
Lineage: Eukaryota; Metazoa; Chordata; Mammalia; Rodentia; Spalacidae
Description: 7SK RNA (ENSNGAG00000005668.1)
Rfam family: 7SK RNA
About the family: 7SK was discovered as an abundant small nuclear RNA in the mid-70s but a possible function has only recently been suggested. Two independent studies have found that 7SK RNA binds the CDK9/cyclin T complex (known as elongation factor P-TEFb).
Source: RNAcentral